AGUGACAGGAUGGUGCGAAAAAUCUGAUCACACGGGCGUUCACAAGGUGAUUGACAGGAAGAGGUCGUUUGUGGGUGGCAACUGAGCAUUUAUUGUGAGUGUCCAGAAAAACGCAGGCGUUCCCAAACGUUUUCACGGAGGCGUUACCUAGUAACGACCCUGCCUCAUGUGACCCUGAUUUCUACCCGGCGCAAUUGGCUGAUGUCAUCAUCCGGCGACCACGGUGUAGUGUGUGCGGGAAUGGCGGACGCUGAACACCAGGGACAGUAUGAUUGGGGAUUGAAUGCUUCUGUUUUAUAAUAUACUGUAUGGGAUAAUUUCUACUUAAUAAUGUGCUGUUAUUUAUAUAUAAUAUGUAUUAUCAUGUAUGUAUUUUUUUAUUUUAUGUAUCUAUUGUAAUUAUUUUGGGAUUACUGGGAAAUGUAAGUAGGGGAUGUCAGCACUAUAUAAAUCCCUUUUGUCAGAAUGGGUGUGUGAGUGAGAUCAGCAUCAUCCGCCAACGAUGACCGAACCUGGGACAAUCCAAUCAGAACAUUCCGAAGAGUAUAUAUAGGAGAAUUGGAAUCAACUACAGCAGAUCUUGAGAAAGGGGGCGGACCCCCGAAACGCGUUUAUGCUGUAAGUCGUGUGAGCUGAUCCAGGAGAGAAUCGCUACCUAUCCGCACGCUUUAGGCUGUUUGCCGGUACAGCGGGCUGAGACAUCCCGGGCGUCUCAGCAGUGAAGCACAGCCUCAUUUUGGGUGCGGGUAUGCGUCCUGAAUCAUUUUUAA
Pseudophryne corroboree (corroboree frog) is the source of this 770-nucleotide long non-coding RNA. RefSeq lists it as uncharacterized. NCBI's taxonomy places the organism in Eukaryota, Metazoa, Chordata, Amphibia, Anura, Myobatrachidae. The record is from RefSeq and is a predicted model, not a curated record. The transcript has 3 exons.